Molecule: ribosomal RNA, 515 nt
Filed under: uncultured bacterium
Lineage: Bacteria
Description: partial 16S ribosomal RNA
Rfam family: Bacterial small subunit ribosomal RNA
Source: RNAcentral
GAUGAACGCUGGCGGCGUGCCUAAUACAUGCAAGUCGAGCGAAUGGAUUGAGAGCUUGCUCUUAUGAAGUUAGCGGCGGACGGGUGAGUAACACGUGGGUAACCUGCCCAUAAGACUGGGAUAACUCCGGGAAACCGGGGCUAAUACCGGAUAACAUUUUGAACCGCAUGGUUCGAAAUUGAAAGGCGGCUUCGGCUGUCACUUAUGGAUGGACCCGCGUCGCAUUAGCUAGUUGGUGAGGUAACGGCUCACCAAGGCAACGAUGCGUAGCCGGCCUGAGAGGGUGAUCGGCCACACUGGGACUGAGACACGGCCCAGACUCCUACGGGAGGCAGCAGUAGGGAAUCUUCCGCAAUGGACGAAAGUCUGACGGAGCAACGCCGCGUGAGUGAGGAAGGCUUUCGGGUCGUAAAACUCUGUUGUUAGGGAAGAACAAGUGCUAGUUGAAUAAGCUGGCACCUUGACGGUACCUAACCAGAAAGCCACGGCUAACUACGUGUCAGCAGCCGCCGUAA